Molecule: unclassified non-coding RNA, 334 nt
Filed under: plant metagenome
Description: partial contains 5.8S ribosomal RNA, internal transcribed spacer 2, and large subunit ribosomal RNA
Rfam family: 5.8S ribosomal RNA (bases 1-105)
Source: RNAcentral
UAAAUUCUAUAAUUAAUUUUAAUUUCAGAAUUCAGUGAAUCAUCUAAUCUUUUAACUCACAUUGCGCCCGGCAGCAAUCUGCCGGGCAUGCCUGUCCGAGCGUCAUUUCUGCCCUCGAGCGCUUUUCGGCCCCUAGCGGGCCGGCCGCCGCCCGGUGUUGGGGCGCUGCGGGCCCUCGUGCCCGCAGGCCCUGAAAUGAAGUGGCGGUCCCGCCGCGGCGCCCCCUGCGUAGUAGUAAAGCACCUCGCAUCGGGUCCCGGCGGAGGCCAGCCGUCGAACCUCUCUUUUGAUGGUUUGACCUCGGAUCAGGUAGGGUUACCCGCUGAACUUAAGC